This 898-nucleotide ribosomal RNA is filed under the name Cladosporium austrohemisphaericum. Its description in RNAcentral is "partial large subunit ribosomal RNA". It matches the Rfam family "Eukaryotic large subunit ribosomal RNA", at positions 39 to 963 of the family's 3401-position model. The record is from RNAcentral. Lineage: Eukaryota; Fungi; Ascomycota; Dothideomycetes; Cladosporiales; Cladosporiaceae.
CAUAUCAAUAAGCGGAGGAAAAGAAACCAACAGGGAUUGCUCUAGUAACGGCGAGUGAAGCAGCAAUAGCUCAAAUUUGAAAUCUGGCGUCUUCGGCGUCCGAGUUGUAAUUUGUAGAGGAUGCUUCUGAGUAGCCACCGACCUAAGUUCCUUGGAACAGGACGUCAUAGAGGGUGAGAAUCCCGUAUGCGGUCGGAAAGGCGCUCUACACGUAGCUCCUUCGACGAGUCGAGUUGUUUGGGAAUGCAGCUCUAAAUGGGAGGUAAAUUUCUUCUAAAGCUAAAUAUUGGCCAGAGACCGAUAGCGCACAAGUAGAGUGAUCGAAAGAUGAAAAGCACUUUGGAAAGAGAGUUAAAAAGCACGUGAAAUUGUUGAAAGGGAAGGGAUUGCAACCAGACUUGCUCGCGGUGUUCCGCCGGUCUUCUGACCGGUCUACUCGCCGCGUUGCAGGCCAGCAUCGUCUGGUGCCGCUGGAUAAGACUUGAGGAAUGUAGCUCCCUCGGGAGUGUUAUAGCCUCUUGUGAUGCAGCGAGCGCCGGGCGAGGUCCGCGCUUCGGCUAGGAUGCUGGCGUAAUGGUCGUAAUCCGCCCGUCUUGAAACACGGACCAAGGAGUCUAACAUCUAUGCGAGUGUUCGGGUGUCAAACCCCUACGCGUAAUGAAAGUGAACGGAGGUGAGAACCGCAAGGUGCAUCAUCGACCGAUCCUGAUGUCUUCGGAUGGAUUUGAGUAUGAGCAUAGCUGUUGGGACCCGAAAGAUGGUGAACUAUGCCUGAAUAGGGUGAAGCCAGAGGAAACUCUGGUGGAGGCUCGCAGCGGUUCUGACGUGCAAAUCGAUCGUCAAAUUUGGGUAUAGGGGCGAAAGACUAAUCGAACCAUCUAGUAGCUGGUUCCUGCCG